Molecule: ribosomal RNA, 2205 nt
Filed under: Staphylococcus aureus
Lineage: Bacteria; Bacillati; Bacillota; Bacilli; Caryophanales; Staphylococcaceae
Description: partial 23S ribosomal RNA
Rfam family: Bacterial large subunit ribosomal RNA
Source: RNAcentral
UAAGGGCGCACGGUGGAUGCCUUGGCACUAGAAGCCGAUGAAGGACGUUACUAACGACGAUAUGCUUUGGGGAGCUGUAAGUAAGCUUUGAUCCAGAGAUUUCCGAAUGGGGAAACCCAGCAUGAGUUAUGUCAUGUUAUCGAUAUGUGAAUACAUAGCAUAUCAGAAGGCACACCCGGAGAACUGAAACAUCUUAGUACCCGGAGGAAGAGAAAGAAAAUUCGAUUCCCUUAGUAGCGGCGAGCGAAACGGGAAGAGCCCAAACCAACAAGCUUGCUUGUUGGGGUUGUAGGACACUCUAUACGGAGUUACAAAGGACGACAUUAGACGAAUCAUCUGGAAAGAUGAAUCAAAGAAGGUAAUAAUCCUGUAGUCGAAAAUGUUGUCUCUCUUGAGUGGAUCCUGAGUACGACGGAGCACGUGAAAUUCCGUCGGAAUCUGGGAGGACCAUCUCCUAAGGCUAAAUACUCUCUAGUGACCGAUAGUGAACCAGUACCGUGAGGGAAAGGUGAAAAGCACCCCGGAAGGGGAGUGAAAUAGAACCUGAAACCGUGUGCUUACAAGUAGUCAGAGCCCGUUAAUGGGUGAUGGCGUGCCUUUUGUAGAAUGAACCGGCGAGUUACGAUUUGAUGCAAGGUUAAGCAGUAAAUGUGGAGCCGUAGCGAAAGCGAGUCUGAAUAGGGCGUUUAGUAUUUGGUCGUAGACCCGAAACCAGGUGAUCUACCCUUGGUCAGGUUGAAGUUCAGGUAACACUGAAUGGAGGACCGAACCGACUUACGUUGAAAAGUGAGCGGAUGAACUGAGGGUAGCGGAGAAAUUCCAAUCGAACCUGGAGAUAGCUGGUUCUCUCCGAAAUAGCUUUAGGGCUAGCCUCAAGUGAUGAUUAUUGGAGGUAGAGCACUGUUUGGACGAGGGGCCCCUCUCGGGUUACCGAAUUCAGACAAACUCCGAAUGCCAAUUAAUUUAACUUGGGAGUCAGAACAUGGGUGAUAAGGUCCGUGUUCGAAAGGGAAACAGCCCAGACCACCAGCUAAGGUCCCAAAAUAUAUGUUAAGUGGAAAAGGAUGUGGCGUUGCCCAGACAACUAGGAUGUUGGCUUAGAAGCAGCCAUCAUUUAAAGAGUGCGUAAUAGCUCACUAGUCGAGUGACACUGCGCCGAAAAUGUACCGGGGCUAAACAUAUUACCGAAGCUGUGGAUUGUCCUUUGGACAAUGGUAGGAGAGCGUUCUAAGGGCGUUGAAGCAUGAUCGUAAGGACAUGUGGAGCGCUUAGAAGUGAGAAUGCCGGUGUGAGUAGCGAAAGACGGGUGAGAAUCCCGUCCACCGAUUGACUAAGGUUUCCAGAGGAAGGCUCGUCCGCUCUGGGUUAGUCGGGUCCUAAGCUGAGGCCGACAGGCGUAGGCGAUGGAUAACAGGUUGAUAUUCCUGUACCACCUAUAAUCGUUUUAAUCGAUGGGGGGACGCAGUAGGAUAGGCGAAGCGUGCGAUUGGAUUGCACGUCUAAGCAGUAAGGCUGAGUAUUAGGCAAAUCCGGUACUCGUUAAGGCUGAGCUGUGAUGGGGAGAAGACAUUGUGUCUUCGAGUCGUUGAUUUCACACUGCCGAGAAAAGCCUCUAGAUAGAAAAUAGGUGCCCGUACCGCAAACCGACACAGGUAGUCAAGAUGAGAAUUCUAAGGUGAGCGAGCGAACUCUCGUUAAGGAACUCGGCAAAAUGACCCCGUAACUUCGGGAGAAGGGGUGCUCUUUAGGGUUAACGCCCAGAAGAGCCGCAGUGAAUAGGCCCAAGCGACUGUUUAUCAAAAACACAGGUCUCUGCUAAACCGUAAGGUGAUGUAUAGGGGCUGACGCCUGCCCGGUGCUGGAAGGUUAAGAGGAGUGGUUAGCUUCUGCGAAGCUACGAAUCGAAGCCCCAGUAAACGGCGGCCGUAACUAUAACGGUCCUAAGGUAGCGAAAUUCCUUGUCGGGUAAGUUCCGACCCGCACGAAAGGCGUAACGAUUUGGGCACUGUCUCAACGAGAGACUCGGUGAAAUCAUAGUACCUGUGAAGAUGCAGGUUACCCGCGACAGGACGGAAAGACCCCGUGGAGCUUUACUGUAGCCUGAUAUUGAAAUUCGGCACAGCUUGUACAGGAUAGGUAGGAGCCUUUGAAACGUGAGCGCUAGCUUACGUGGAGGCGCUGGUGGGAUACUACCCUAGCUGUGUU